This 467-nucleotide ribosomal RNA is filed under the name uncultured bacterium. RNAcentral describes it as "bacterial SSU rRNA". It matches the Rfam family "Bacterial small subunit ribosomal RNA", at positions 328 to 793 of the family's 1533-position model. The record is from RNAcentral.
GCACCAGACUCCUACGGGAGGCAGCAGUGAGGAAUAUUGGUCAAUGGGAGAGAUCCUGAACCAGCCAAGCCGCGUGAGGGAAGACGGCCCUAUGGGUUGUAAACCUCUUUUGUCGGGGAGCAAAGCGAACCACGUGUGGUUCAUUGAGAGUACCCGAAGAAAAAGCAUCGGCUAACUCCGUGCCAGCAGCCGCGGUAAUACGGAGGAUGCGAGCGUUAUCCGGAUUUAUUGGGUUUAAAGGGUGCGCAGGCGGAGGUGCAAGUCAGCGGUCAAAUUGCGGGGCUCAACCCCGUACUGCCGUUGAAACUGCAUCCCUUGAGUGCGCGAGAAGUAUGCGGAAUGCGUGGUGUAGCGGUGAAAUGCAUAGAUAUCACGCAGAACUCCGAUUGCGAAGGCAGCAUACCGGCGCGCAACUGACGCUCAUGCACGAAAGCGUGGGUAUCGAACAGGAUUAGAUACCCCGGUAU